RNAcentral lists this ribosomal RNA (253 nucleotides) under uncultured bacterium. Its description in RNAcentral is "partial 16S ribosomal RNA". It matches the Rfam family "Bacterial small subunit ribosomal RNA", at positions 524 to 776 of the family's 1533-position model. The record is from RNAcentral.
UACGUAGGGUGCGAGCGUUGUCCGGGAUUAUUGGGCGUAAAGAGCUCGUAGGCGGUCUGUCGCGUCUGCUGUGAAAACCCGAGGCUCAACCUCGGGCCUGCAGUGGGUACGGGCAGACUAGAGUGCGGUAGGGGAGAAUGGAAUUCCUGGUGUAGCGGUGGAAUGCGCAGAUAUCAGGAGGAACACCGAUGGCGAAGGCAGUUCUCUGGGCCGUAACUGACGCUGAGGAGCGAAAGCGUGGGGAGCGAACAGG